This 789-nucleotide ribosomal RNA is filed under the name uncultured bacterium. Its description in RNAcentral is "partial 16S ribosomal RNA". It matches the Rfam family "Bacterial small subunit ribosomal RNA", at positions 59 to 829 of the family's 1533-position model. The record is from RNAcentral.
CAGUCGAACGCGGUUACYCCGCAAGGGGUGACYGAGUGGCGAACGGGUGAGUAACACGUGGGUGACCUACCUUCGAGUGGGGGAUAACGYCCCGAAAGGGACGCUAAUACCGCAUAACAUCCUGCCUUUGAACAGGCGGUGAUCAAAGCCGGGGAYCGYAAGRCCYGGCGCUUGWUGAGGGGCYCGCGUCUGAUUAGCUAGUUGGUGAGGUAACGGCCCACCAAGGCKACGAUCAGUAUCCGGCCUGAGAGGGCGGACGGACACACUGGGACUGAGACACGGCCCAGACUCCUACGGGAGGCAGCAGUGGGGAAUUGUUCRCAAUGGGCGCAAGCCUGAYGACGCAACGCCGCGUGGAGGAUGAAGGUCUUCGGAUUGUAAACUCCUGUUGCYCGGGACGAAURGCYYYGACCUAAYACGUCGRRGUSUGACGGUACCGRGUGAGGAAGCCCCGGCUAACUCUGUGCCAGCAGCCGCGGUAAUACAGAGGGGGCAAGCGUUGUUCGGAAUUACUGGGCGUAAAGGGCGCGUAGGCGGCCUGCUAAGUCGAACGUGAAAUCCCYGGGCUYAACCCRGGAACUGCGUCCGAUACUGGCWGGCUUGAAUCCGGGAGAGGGAUGCGGAAUUCCAGGUGUAGCGGUGAAAUGCGUAGAUAUCUGGAGGAGCACCGGUGGCGAAGGCGGCAUCCUGGACCGGUAUUGACGCUGAUGCGCGAAAGCCAGGGGAGCAAACGGGAAUAAGAUACCCCGGUAGUCCUGGGCCUUAACGAUGAAUGCUUGGUGUGGCGGG